GAUGAGCGCUGGCUACAGGCUUAACACAUGCAAGUCGAGGGGAAACGACGGGGAAGCUUGCUUCCCCGGGCGUCGACCGGCGCACGGGUGAGUAACGCGUAUCCAACCUGCCUCUGACUGAGGGAUAACCCGUCGAAAGUCGGCCUAAUACCUCAUGGCAUCGUCUGCGGGCAUCCAACGACGAUUAAAGAUUUCAUCGGUCAGGGAUGGGGAUGCGUCUGAUUAGCUUGUUGGCGGGGUAACGGCCCACCAAGGCUACGAUCAGUAGGGGUUCUGAGAGGAAGGUCCCCCACAUUGGAACUGAGACACGGUCCAAACUCCUACGGGAGGCAGCAGUGAGGAAUAUUGGUCAAUGGGCGGGAGCCUGAACCAGCCAAGUAGCGUGCAGGAGGACGGCCCUAUGGGUUGUAAACUGCUUUUAGGCGGGGAUAAAGUGAGGGACGUGUCCUUCAUUGCAGGUACCGCAUGAAUAAGGACCGGCUAAUUCCGUG
RNAcentral lists this ribosomal RNA (491 nucleotides) under uncultured bacterium. Its description in RNAcentral is "partial 16S ribosomal RNA". It matches the Rfam family "Bacterial small subunit ribosomal RNA", at positions 28 to 507 of the family's 1533-position model. The record is from RNAcentral.